UCUGCAUUAAGUUAAUUAAACCGAGAUGUUAAAUUUCUGUAACACAAACUAGGCCUUCCCAAUUCUGAACAAAAGAAAUAAUAUUAUCUAUCAGAUUGGAGAAGCAACAACUAUGGCUGUAUCAAAGACUUCUAAAUUGAUUUCAGCAUUCAAAAAGUUUCACCUUGAUUCGCAGUCGUUCAGCAACUUCAGAUUGUUCAUCAUACUCAUCGAUCACCUGCAGAGAUGGGAAUAGCUAAUCCACACUAUCUUUUGGAUUGUGUCUCACUUAUGGUAGUUACUGUAUGAUAUUAUUGCAUGAUAUUUAUUUAUGAUUCUUAUGUUUAGAUAAUUAUUUACGUUAUAUCUGCUGUAGUUACUAAUGCUCUUUUAUUUGUUUUUGUUUUUACUUUCCUUCACUGAGGGUCGAUUGGAAACAGCCUCUCUGCCCUUUCGGGUAGGGGUAAGGCUACUCUACAUAUUACCCUCCCCAGACCCCACUUUGUGGGACUAUACUGGGUAGUUGUUAUUGUUGUUGUUACACUAUCUUUUGCUCCAUCAAGUAGGACAAAGUGAAAGGAAAAUACUUUUGCUCCUAACAAGUCUAGACCAAAAUAACGGGAAUUGAACUCUAUGAGAUCGAAUUUCCUGUUGUUCCUCAGUAGCUCAGUAGAGCAAUCGGCUGUUAACCAAUUGGCGGUAACAGCAAUGCACCUUCUGAUAUUUGAUCUUUAGGUGAUAGAGAUGAGUUGAAUAGACUAAGGCUUUUCCUUUUCUAAAUUAUGUCAAAUAUUGUACUUACAUUGUGUUUUAAGAAUAUAACCGGUGCUUGUUCAUCACCAGCUCCCCUGCACAAUUUUGCAAAACCCUGCUCUAUAUACUUGCAGCUGCCACAGGCGGUGCGAUAGAAGUCUACCGCAACCAAAGAACCAGCCUUUUUCG
RNAcentral lists this long non-coding RNA (921 nucleotides) under Nicotiana benthamiana. RNAcentral describes it as "long non-coding RNA (NBEN_LNC027571)". The record is from RNAcentral. Lineage: Eukaryota; Viridiplantae; Streptophyta; Magnoliopsida; Solanales; Solanaceae.